GGGGAAUCUUCCGCAAUGGGCGAAAGCCUGACGGAGNAAGACCGCGUGGGGGAAGAAGGCUCUUGGGUUGUAAACUCCUUUUCUCUGGGAAGAACAAAAUGACGGUACCAGAGGAAUCAGCAUCGGCUAACUCCGUGCCAGCAGCCGCGGUAAGACGGAGGAUGCAAGCGUUAUCCGGAAUGAUUGGGCGUAAAGCGUCCGCAGGUGGCAGUUCAAGUCUGCUGUCAAAGACCGGGGCUCAACCUCGGAAAGGCAGUGGAAACUGAACAGCUAGAGUAUGGUAGGGGCAAAGGGAAUUCCUGGUGUAGCGGUGAAAUGCGUAGAGAUCAGGAAGAACAUCGGUGGCGAAGGCGCUUUGCUGGACCAUAACUGACACUCAGGGACGAAAGCUAGGGGAGCGAAUGGGAUUAGAUACCCCAGUAGUC
RNAcentral lists this ribosomal RNA (425 nucleotides) under uncultured Antarctic cyanobacterium. Its description in RNAcentral is "bacterial SSU rRNA". It matches the Rfam family "Bacterial small subunit ribosomal RNA", at positions 356 to 795 of the family's 1533-position model. Lineage: Bacteria; Bacillati; Cyanobacteriota. The record is from RNAcentral.